GUUUCUCUUUCCGCGGUGGCGUCCGGCGAGGACCGCUUCGGCCCUGUUUCCCUCUCUUCUGGACCCUCCCGCGGGGCCCUCUGCCCGCCUGUUCGCACCUGCCCCAGCACCCGCCUCUCGAGGGGCUCUGGCCCCGACCCUGCGCCUUCCGGCCACUUCUCGGACCCCUCCUUCGGACUUGGCGACCCCGAUUUUGCCCCGCUACCUCGGGUUCCACUUUCUGCCGCCAGGCCCUCUUGGGACGCGCCCUGACACACCCUCCUCCGCCCCAGCUGUCUCCACACCCGCCGGGGGCAGAGCCCUGUCCUCUCCUCCCCUGCAGCCAGAUCCCCCUAGGAGGCCACAGAAGGUGUCCCCAACCCUGAGCCUGACCCCACCCGUAGACCCCCUCCUAGCCCCUGCUCCACCCGCCGUCGACGCCCUCAGUCGCCCGCCCUGCUGUCCCGAAGCCCCGGCCGGCCGCGGUCUCUGGUCUUGGCUCGGGCUUCCCGGGAAGCGGCGGCCUGACCACAGGCUUCAGAGGAACCCCUGGCGGCGCGGGCGCCUCCACCCCGGCCCAGUUCCUCGGAAACUGGGCGGGGCCGGGCAAGGUCCCUGGUGGCCUCGACUGCCCUCCCUGCGCUCCCACUACCCGGCUGCGGAAGAAACUGAGGCUGGGGAGGGGCUGGGAUUUGCAAUGGCUUGCAGAUUGGGAGCUCUGGACCUGGAUCUCGCCUUCCCCGUCUUCAUUUUGGGGAGAGGUGCAGCUGGACGACAUCAAAUUGGAGCCCAGUGAAAAAAUGGUGCAUUCUCAGACGUGAUGAAUCCCCAAACCUGGUUUCCUAGCCCUCCUCUCCCCCGACCCCUUCCUCAUAGAUUUCCCCCUCCUACUGCUCCGUCAGGCAUCUGCCCUUCAAAGACUGCCUUCCCACCACACACACGGCCGGGGCUUGGGAUGGUGGGCGGUCGGUGGUCGGGGCUGUAAUUUGCACACGUGUUUGUGAUUUAGUGAUUCCGAUUGUCGUGCGAGGCCAUGGAGUAGGUGCCUGGCUGCUCCGUGUAUUUUUGAAUGAAGGCAUGUGAGGAGCCCCAGCAUCACAAGGGGCCACAUAAAAACCUGGCUAGGCUGGGCACUUGGUUACUGGCCUCACACUGGGACACACUGCCCUCUACAGACAGCUCUCAGACGGCUUCUCUCCUGGAAGCCCUGGUGCCCAGUCCCUUCCCGCCUCCCUGGCCCCACGAUACCUCUUUCCCCAGGCAGAGCCUAGGUCCUUAUUAACCUCCUGAACACAGGGAGUGGCCCAGAAUCAGCCCAGCUUAGCACCCCAUCAGUGCCCUGAAUCUGCAUGUGGCCAGGGCUGGUGGUGGUCAUUGGUGUAGCCUCCUAGGUUGUGCGUGUGUGUGCGUGCGCGUGCGUGAGGGGGUGAGAGAAGAUGCAGAACCUUGCCUGCACCAGAGGUCAGGUGUGUGAUCAUUCGAGAGAUGUCCACUGAACAUCUGCUGGAGGCCACACUCUGUGGAGGGUGAUGGAAUACAAGGAGACCCAGUUCCAAAUCUGCACCUUUCUAUUCUUGUGACCUUGAGCAUGUAAUUAACCUCUCUGCCAUGGUUUCUUUAUCUGUGAAAUGGGGAUAAUAAUAGUACCUCUAGCAGGGCGCAGUAGCUCAUGCCUAUAAUCCCAGCACUUGGAAGGCCAAGACAGGAGGAUUGCUUGAGCCCAGGAGUUUGAGAACAGCCUGGGCAACAAAGUGAGACCCCCUCUCUACAAAAAAAAAAAAAAAAAAAAAAAAAUAGUACAAAAAUCAGCCAGUCGUAGUGGAUUGCACCUGCAGUCCCAGCUACUUGGGAGGCUGAAGCAGGAGGAUUGCCUGAGCCCAGGAGGUCAAGGCUGCAGUGAGCCACGAUUGUGUCACUGCACUCCAGCCGGGGCAACAGACUAAGACCCUGUCUCAAAAAAAAAUAAAUAAAUAGUACCUCCAUCCCGGGGUUGUAUGGGAAUUAAAUGAGUGAUUAUGGGUCAGGUGCUUAAAACAGCCCGUAGUGUCUAAUAAGCAGUCGGUAGAUGUUUGUUGUUCAUCUGAGGGUGCCUGUGGGUGUGGCAGUGUGUUGGAGCCCACAGACGCAUGGCUUCAACCCCUGUGUCCAUUUUUUUAAAGAGAUGGAGUGUAGCUCUGUUGCUCAGGCUGGAGUGUAGUGAUAGGAUCGAGGAGGCACUAUAGCCUCGACCUCCUGGGCUCAAGAGAUUCUCCCAUCUCAGCCUCCUGAGUAGCUGAGACUACAGGCACAUGCCACCACACCCGGCUAAUUUUUUAAAUUUUUUGUAGGGAUGGGGUCUCACUACGUUGCCCAGGCUGGUCUCGAACUCCUGUCCUUUAGUGACCCUCCUGCCCUGGCUUCCCAAA
This 2384-nucleotide long non-coding RNA is filed under the name Homo sapiens (human). Its description in RNAcentral is "non-protein coding lnc-CLEC16A-8:1". The record is from RNAcentral. Lineage: Eukaryota; Metazoa; Chordata; Mammalia; Primates; Hominidae.